AUGGUUAAAAACAAAGCUAUAAUUCUACUCAUUGUGAUUGUUGGUCUACUCUCGCUAUCGUGUCUCUCUACUUUUUUUUGUUUGUUUGUUUUUGUUGUUUUUGUUCGCCUGCAGGGAAUUCUUGUGUUAAUGUGCAAAGUAAUAAAUGGGUAUUUCAUCCCUAUAACAUAACUGUGUGUGCUCAUCAUUGACAUUUAGCCUGUAAUAUUGAUUAAAAGGUGAAUUUAUGCCCACACAGAGCUAGAUCUGCACUUGCCACCAAAGCCUACAUAUGCAUUUAUUGUCACUAGAUGGCAUUCUUUACCAAAGUAAAUCAGAUUACAGGCUGACGGCAGUUUACAUAUUAAUGAUGUAAACUGUUCCUGUCCUUGGUUGCAUUCUAAGAACAGCUGAAAGGACGUAACAAUAUCGGCCUGAAGAAGCCUGAAGAAAUCUGAACACAUUUAAUUUCUUCAAUCAAGCUUUAGUAAAACAGGUGUUAAGUUAGUAGUCCUGGCAAGAGGGUAGGGAUGGGGUCCUGUGUGUGAAUGGUGACUUGAAAUGUUAGCUGAGUAGUCAAAGAAAAUUUGAUUUUUAUUUAAUUUUUUAAUAGAAUGCAAUUUUGGAAAUUUAAAAUUUAAGAAUGUUACGUAAGUAAUGGGAUAAAUUUUUAUUUUUCUCAACAAAAAAACAAAAAUACAUGCUGUACAAUACAGAAAAGAGUCCAAAAAUUAACUUUGGAAAUUGUCGUGGGGCCAUAUUUAACUGUAUAAAUAGGAUCUUUUCUCUUAAUGAUUUCAUUGUCAAAAAAUUUGACACUUUGUGUCCUUUAUUGUAAAUACAGUUAACAUUCCAUUAUUUACAUGGAAUAACAGGGAAUGUAGUAAUAAUGGUGCAUAAGAAAGUUAAAUUAUGUUAUUUCUAUACAUUUUUGAAAAAUUGAUCAUUUACUCUCAUUUAACUGUACAAAAUCUAAAAUGAUUUCCUGUAUACCAGUGCAUCUAAAAUAUUUUAUUUUGUGGAAAUAAAGGUUUUAUGGUUAAAAAGUUAACUACAAACUUAACUAUAUUCUAUAUUCAUUAUACAUGAUGCAAACAUUGUCAUGACUUGUUUUGUUGUUGUGAUGACUAUGCCUAUAGCUCAUGAAAAUCAGAAAUCCAGUUUAAAUUUAAAGAACAAAAAACUAUUCACACAGUAAAUAUGUAUGUCUAACUCAAUACCUGCAACCACAAUCAGAGGGAAGACUGCUUACUUGAUGGUUGUUCAGAUGUCUAUCAUUGAUGUCCUCUUAUAGGAGGGUAAGCCACAGGUCUUGAUAAAAAGGCUGGCUGUAUGGAGGUUUGUAAAUAAUAAAGUUGGCUGAAGGGAAAAGUAUGAGGGAGACAAAGAGCAUGGCCACAGACUCGAGAGGACUGUCAGGAAAAGUUGAUUCAAGAACUUCACAAGGAGUGGACUGAGGCUGGUGUCAGUGUAUAUAGACAUCUUCAUGACAGGGGGCAUAACUGUUGCUUUACUACUACUGCCAAACCACCCUGAACCAGAGACUUUAGAAGUGUCUUAUGCCAAGUAGAAAAAGAAGUGGACUACUGCUCUGUGGUCCUCUUUUCAGCUAAAAGCACAUUUUGCACCACAUUUGGAAAUCAAGUCCUUUUCUGGAGCAAAAGUGGAGAGUGCGGUCUGUGUCUGUGUAUCACAUGCUGAUGGGUUUUGGUGGUUGAUUGGUCCACUGUGUUUUAUCAAAUCCAAAGUCAAUGCAGUUGUCUACCUGGAGAUUUUAUAGCACUUUAUGGUUCCACCUGUUGUCAAGCUUUAUGAGAAUGCUGAUUUCCUUUUCCAGCAGGACCUAGCACCUGCCCACAGAGACAACUAUUAUAAAUCUCAAGUUAUUACUGUGGUGGACUCACCUGACCUGACCCACACAGAGAGUCUAUAGAAUACUGUCAAGAGGAAAAUGAGAAAAAUACAGAUGAGCUGAAGGCAGCUAUCAAAGCAACCUUCAACAACACCUUAGCAGGCUUAAAAGGCAUGCAAUGUGUUUGCCUUUUUAAAGUAAAUUGUUGAAAGAAUUAAACUUUUUCAUGAUAUUCAGAUUUUCUUUAGAUGCAUUACUAUAUACUGAAACAAACAAACAAACAAAACAACACAACAUUUCCUGAAGAAGGAAU
Long non-coding RNA from Oreochromis niloticus (Nile tilapia), 2144 nucleotides. The record is from Ensembl. Lineage: Eukaryota; Metazoa; Chordata; Actinopteri; Cichliformes; Cichlidae.